Hevea brasiliensis (rubber tree) is the source of this 1428-nucleotide long non-coding RNA. RefSeq lists it as uncharacterized. The record is from RefSeq and is a predicted model, not a curated record. Lineage: Eukaryota; Viridiplantae; Streptophyta; Magnoliopsida; Malpighiales; Euphorbiaceae. The transcript is spliced from 2 exons.
AGUUUUGAACAAGAGAAUAUGAUUUGGGAAAAUUUUCACCGUGGAAUGACGAAACUACAUGUUAAGGCAGUUAAAAAACAUGAUAAAUGUGCAAAAUUUGAAGGUUUCUUAUCUGAUCCCAUUCUUUUUCGUGAGCUUGCGCGGGAUACUGAGAAUGGUCAAAGUGAAAGUUGCACUGAAAUUUUUGAAGACAUGGUUCUUUAAAUCCUAGGUAUGGAAAUGGGCAACUUGGUGCCAAAAAAAUCUGUACUGAUUUGGGAAAUGCUUUUCAGUUUUCUAUAUAGAGAAGAUUAUUGGGCUUUUGUGUCUCUUUUAAAUGGCAAUGAAAAUUCACUUAAAGGAAUCCUGAAACCUUUCAUAGUUUCUUUAGCUCUCCUCUCGAUUAUGAGAGAUCAUUCUAUCACAAAUAAAUUUGAUGGAGCUGGUUCAGGUCAAUUUGUUAUCGAGACAGACACUGAGAUUUGCAAAUCUCAAUUUGACUCACUCCUUUGUUCUCAUAGGUUCCCAAUCUGGGCCUUCACCUUCAAACAAGUGUGCUGAAGUUGCAGAUGGUACAAGGAGAAGAAGAAGAAAUUGUUGGCAUAUUGCCAAUGGCACUUUCCUUGAUCAGCCCAAGAUAUGAAUUGCAGAUUUUGUUUCGCAUGGAGAUACUCCAAUCAGAGGUUGGAGCAAGUUUUGGGGAGUCCACAAAACAAAUGUUUGUGAAGUAAAUUUGCUUGCUUUUAGAGGGCAUUCAGUGCCAUCUGCAGGGAGGCUUUUUAGGUGAUUGGAGGCUUGAUAAAUAUGUGGGAAAGGUCAUAAAAAAACAGUCUUGGCCAUUUGGUUCAGAGAAUUUAUGCAAAAAUGGAUAUGCUAUUGUUUGAGGAUGAGGAUGAGGAUGAAUCCUCAAAUUCUUUAUUGAAUAGCGAGGACAGUAAAAAAUCGUGGAAAGGAAUUUACGAGGGAGAUGAAUGGAUGGAAACCGUAGAAACAAUGAUCUAGUCUCUGCGGAAGAUGAGACCUUCCAAUUGGUGGGAAAUGAGCAUCAAAGCCCCCAAGGAAUGAACCGGGAGGAGCAUGCUUGUAAUUUAAUUGAAGCUUAGGAACAAAGACAAAGGGCUUGUUGAUUUGCAUCUUUCACUAGCUGGGUCCAGACUUGGAAAGAGUUUCGGCACCAAAGCGUCCAAGGGCAAUGAAAAUGAAGUCAGGUCCUCUUCAGAAGCUGUCAAAAAGAAAGGAGCAAAGAAGGGUAAGCUAUGUCACAGUAUGCGAGACCCCAAUGACAGCAAAGAAACGUUCAUGCUGGGGAGGCAGCAGUGGCAAGGAACAUGGUUGUUAGUCAGCUCUUAACCAUCUAAACAAACAUGCGUAGGGUGCUGAGUUUUGGUGUAAAUAUAUUAUAGUAUAUUUUAUUGAAAAAUUAUCUUAAAUAAAAUUAUUAUAUACAAA